Molecule: long non-coding RNA, 355 nt
Filed under: Mytilus galloprovincialis (Mediterranean mussel)
Lineage: Eukaryota; Metazoa; Mollusca; Bivalvia; Mytilida; Mytilidae
Source: RNAcentral
UCAUUAUAAAACUUAUGUACUUUUUUCUGAAGAAAAUGCUUUAAUUUGUUCAUAUUAAGAAGAAGUUUACUUUAUUUUAAUUGCUUCCUUCAAGCAAUUUCCUGACAUAUUUUAUGAUGCAAAGUGACCUCCGUGUGACCCAUCUCGUAAAAAUCCGGUGAUCGCAAUACGCAUUGAUGUCCUUAAAAUAAACUAUUAUCUGAUUGUACAUGUUAAACACGUGCUCAAUAUCCAUGCUUUUUUGUUGAUUGUUGACAAACAGGUGACAAUCGUUAAACUUUGGCUUCAAAACACAAACUUUAAUUACCUGCCAUAUUUUCACAACACUGACCGAUUGAAAAAAAAUUGACGAUUA